Molecule: long non-coding RNA, 1093 nt
Organism: Vitis riparia (riverbank grape)
Lineage: Eukaryota; Viridiplantae; Streptophyta; Magnoliopsida; Vitales; Vitaceae
Exons: 3
Source: RefSeq, a predicted model, not a curated record
UCUUCAGAGGGAGUUUAAAAGGAUGAUCAAGCUUUCUUCCACGCUUUGUAGUUAUCCCUGUGUAGACCCCCCUUAAGAGAGCAAAGACAAUUAGUUUGUUUUUAAGGGAUUUUUGUUGGCAUGGGAAAGAUAAUGUCUUGCCACCUGGAGGAGCUGGCGACACCUCGGAUGAGUGAGUGGAGGGGCCCCUUUUCUGCUGUGAGGAGACUGCAUCAGACGAGACAAGAGACGUGGGCAGCCAGGAGGGUGGUUGCAAGCCCAUGCUUGCUGAUGUGAUGAAUAGGAAAUGGAGGGUUGGCUUGAAAAAGAAGACACCAAUAGGGGAAGACAGGGAUCUGGGGAGUAGGAGAGCUGUAUGUUGGGAGAGCAGAGGAAGAUAGCUGGACGGUUUCAUUGGCAUUGGAGGUGGAUUUAAGGAGUUUGAAGCUGAACAGGGCUUUACGGGAGAAAGGUAUUCUCAGGCCACCUCUAUUCCUGGAUCGUAUUUGUUAUAUGGACUGUGAGAGAGAGGGAAUUAUUCGUUAGAAUGGGGAGGUGAGUUAGCACUAUUGGUUCAGAUGCCCAAGUGAGGCCAAGUUUUGGGUUUGGUCGGAACUAAUGGCAUUGGAAAAUCUACUGUCCCGGUGUUCCGAAGUGGACCAGAGAUUGAGCUUGUUUUCCUACAUGGUGGAUUCUGGAAAUACAACACCGCACCUUCUAAUAUUUUUCCUUUAAGUGAGGAUAUCAUGGAUGCCAAGAACCAAAAUUUGAAGUCAUGAUCCGUGAAAAACAAGAACACAACCCAGCAUAUAGUUUCCUCUUUGGUGGUGAGGGGCAUAAUUAUUAUCGAUAUAAGCUUUGGUUAUCUACACGAUCCUCAACUGCUGCUGGGGUUUCGGCUUCAAUGUUGGGCACGCCUCAAAUGCAUCAACAACCUUCGUAUCUACCGUUUUAUGGCCAGUAGCAGCAGCGUCCUCGGCCUUUCCUAGGAGAUGCAUGGUCGACCAGAUUUUGAUCCCUCAUCCAAAUCCUUCAAGGGUCUGUCUGGACCACUUCCAUCUGAUGUUGCUGUGGGGCUGAGUAAGAAAAGUGAAAAGGCUUGAUCAAUCCCAAG